This 326-nucleotide ribosomal RNA is filed under the name uncultured eukaryote. RNAcentral describes it as "partial 18S ribosomal RNA". It matches the Rfam family "Eukaryotic small subunit ribosomal RNA", at positions 1470 to 1796 of the family's 1831-position model. The record is from RNAcentral.
CCCUUAGAUGUUCUGGGCCGCACGCGCGCUACACUGAUGCAUUCAACGAGCCUAGCCUUGACCGAGAGGUCCGGGUAAUCUUUGAAACUGCAUCGCGAUGGGGCUAGAUUAUUGCAAUUAUUAAUCUUCAACGAGGAAUGCCUAGUAAGCGUGAUUCAUCAAAUCGCGUUGAUUACGUCCCUGCCCUUUGUACACACCGCCCGUCGCUCCUACCGAUUGAGUGUGUUGGUGAGGAGUUCGGAUUGGCUCUUAGUGGUGGUUCGCCACCACCUAGAGCUGAGAAGUUCUCCAAACCGCCCCACUUAGAGGAAGGAGAAGUCGUAACA